RNAcentral lists this ribosomal RNA (461 nucleotides) under uncultured bacterium. Its description in RNAcentral is "partial 16S ribosomal RNA". It matches the Rfam family "Bacterial small subunit ribosomal RNA", at positions 338 to 795 of the family's 1533-position model. The record is from RNAcentral.
CCUACGGGAGGCAGCAGUGAGGAAUAUUGGUCAAUGGGCGCGAGCCUGAACCAGCCAAGUCGCGUGAGGGAGUACUGCCCUAUGGGUUGUAAACCUCUUUUGUGCGGGAGCAAUAAUGGCCACGUGUGGCCAGACGAGAGUACCGUACGAAUAAGCAUCGGCUAACUCCGUGCCAGCAGCCGCGGUAAUACGGGGGAUGCAAGCGUUAUCCGGAUUUAUUGGGUUUAAAGGGUGCGCAGGCUGUGAGGUAAGUCAGCGGUGAAAUGCCGCCGCUCAACGGGGUGAAGUGCCAUUGAUACUGGCUUGCUGGAAUGCGGAUGCCGUAGGAGGAAUGUGUGGUGUAGCGGUGAAAUGCAUAGAUAUCACACAGAACACCGAUUGCGAAGGCAUCUCACGAAUCCGCUAUUGACGCUGAUGCACGAAAGCGUGGGUAUCAAACAGGAUUAGAUACCCUGGUAGUC